This 478-nucleotide ribosomal RNA is filed under the name uncultured bacterium. RNAcentral describes it as "partial 16S ribosomal RNA". It matches the Rfam family "Bacterial small subunit ribosomal RNA", at positions 28 to 507 of the family's 1533-position model. The record is from RNAcentral.
GAUGAACGCUGGCGGCGUGCUUAACACAUGCAAGUCGAACGGGAAUUAUCUUAUUGAGACUUCGGUCGAUUUAGUUUACUUCUAGUGGCGGACGGGGGAGUAACGCCUGGGUAACCUGCCUUAUACAGGGGGAUAAGAGUAAGAAAUGGCUGCUGAUACUGCAUCAGCGCACAGAGCUGCAUGGCUCGGUGGGUAAGACUCCGGUGGUAUAAGAUGGACCCGCGUUGGGUUGGCUGGUUGGUGGGGGAACGGCCCACCAAGGCGACGAUGCAGAGCCGGCCGGGGAGGGGGAACCGCCACAUUUGGACUGAGACACGGCCUAGACUCCUACGCGAGGCAGGAGUGGGGAAUAUUGCACAAUGGGGGAAACUCUGAUGCAGCGACGCCGCGUGAAGGAAGAAGUAUCUCGGUAUGUAAACUUCUAUCAGCAGGGAAGAUAGUGAUGGUACCUGAUUAAGAAGCCCCGGCUAACUACGUG